GCGCAGCAGUCGCGAAUCUUCCACAAUGGACGAAAGUCUGAUGGAGCGACGCCGCGUGCGGGAUGAAGGCCUUAUGGGUUGUAAACCGCUGUCAGGGGGGAAGAACAUCGGAAUGAACAAUACUCAUUCCGACUGACGUUACCCCCAGAGGAAGCUCCGGCCAACUCCGUGCCAGCAGCCGCGGUAAUACGGGGGGAGCAAGCGUUGUCCGGAAUUAUUGGGCGUAAAGGGCGUGUAGGCGGCGAGGUAAGUCGAAUGU
Molecule: ribosomal RNA, 259 nt
Filed under: uncultured microorganism
Description: partial 16S ribosomal RNA
Rfam family: Bacterial small subunit ribosomal RNA
Source: RNAcentral